Long non-coding RNA from Falco peregrinus (peregrine falcon), 260 nucleotides. RefSeq lists it as uncharacterized. NCBI's taxonomy places the organism in Eukaryota, Metazoa, Chordata, Aves, Falconiformes, Falconidae. The record is from RefSeq and is a predicted model, not a curated record. The transcript has 3 exons.
CUCUAGCUCUUCAGGGGUCUAGAGAGAGAGACAGAGAGAGAAAGCAAAAGAGAGGAGAUGACAAGCUUAUAAAGGAUACAAAGUCCCAUGUACAGGAAGCCAACUAGUGAGCUGGAGAAAGCAGCAGAUAUGAUACAGCUUGACUUUGGACCAUUCUUGUGCAUGCUAUGGUUAUCGCCUAUACAAUGGAACGGAAGUGAGAUGAAAAAUGAAACCACUUGAAAAAUCCUACUUUACUAUUUUCAUAACUGAAAAAAAAA